UUCGCCUUCCAUGAAGCUGGAAUUGCUAGUAAUGGCAGGUCAGCAUACUGCCGUGAAUACGUUCCCGGGCCUUGUACACACCGCCCGUCACACCAUGAGAGUUGGAAAUACCCGAAGCCUGUGAGCUAACAGUAAUGAGGCAGCAGUCGAAGGUAGAGCCAAUGAUUGGGGUGAAGUCGUAACAAGGUAAC
Molecule: ribosomal RNA, 191 nt
Filed under: uncultured bacterium
Lineage: Bacteria
Description: partial 16S ribosomal RNA
Rfam family: Bacterial small subunit ribosomal RNA
Source: RNAcentral